This 500-nucleotide unclassified non-coding RNA is filed under the name uncultured Glomus. RNAcentral's name for it is "SSU rRNA". It matches the Rfam family "Eukaryotic small subunit ribosomal RNA", at positions 591 to 1092 of the family's 1831-position model. Lineage: Eukaryota; Fungi; Glomeromycota; Glomeromycetes; Glomerales; Glomeraceae. The record is from RNAcentral.
CCAAUAGCGUAUAUUAAAGUUGUUGCAGUUAAAAAGCUCGUAGUUGAAUUUCGGGACCAAUCUGCCGGUCGUGCCUCUGGUACGCACUGGUUUUAUUGGUUUCUCCCUUCUGACGAACCAUAAUGUCAUUAAUUUGGUGUCAUGGGGAAUCAGGACUGUUACUUUGAAAAAAUUAGAGUGUUUAAAGCAGGCUCACGCUUGAAUACAUUAGCAUGGAAUAAUGAAAUAGGACGUUUGACCCUAUUUUGUUGGUUUCUAGGAUCGACGUAAUGAAUAAUAGGGAUAGUUGGGGGCAUUAGUAGUCAAUUGUCAGAGGUGAAAUUCUUGGAUUUAUUGAAGGCUAACUACUGCGAAAGCAUUUGCCAAGGAUAUUUUCAUUAAUCAAGAACGAAAGUUAGGGGAUCGAAGACGAUCAGAUACCGUCGUAGUCUUAACCAUAAACUAUGCCGACUAGGGAUCGGAUGAUGUUAAUUUUUUAAUGACUCAUUCGGCGCCUUACG